GCGAGUUUGAUCCUGGCUCAGGACGAACGCUGGCGGCGCGCUUAACGCAUGCAAGUCGAGCGAGAACCCACCUUCGGGUGGGGGAAAGCGGCGAACGGGUGAGUAACACGUGAGUAAUCAACCCUCGGCACCGGGAUAGCCCGGGGAAACUCGGAUUAAUACCGGAUGGCCCAGCAGCUCUUCGGGGCGGCUGGAAAAGGUAGCUUCGGCCUCCGACCAAGGACGGGCCCGCGGCGGAUUAGCUUGUUGGUGAGGUAACGGCUCACCAAGGCGACGAUCCGUAGCUGGUCUGAGAGGACGAUCAGCCACACUGGGACUGAGACACGGCCCAGACUCCUACGGGAGGCAGCAGUGGGGAAUCUUGCGCAAUGGGCGAAAGCCUGACGCAGCGACGCCGCGUGGGGGAAGAAGGCUUUCGGGUUGUAAACCCCUUUCAGGAAGGACGAAGCCACUCGGGUUAAUAGCCCAGAGGGUGACGGUACUUCCAGAAGAAGCCCCGGCUAACUACGUGCCAGCAGCCGCGGUAAUAAGUUU
This 534-nucleotide ribosomal RNA is filed under the name uncultured bacterium. RNAcentral describes it as "bacterial SSU rRNA". It matches the Rfam family "Bacterial small subunit ribosomal RNA", at positions 9 to 530 of the family's 1533-position model. The record is from RNAcentral.